Molecule: small RNA, 777 nt
Filed under: Pongo abelii (Sumatran orangutan)
Lineage: Eukaryota; Metazoa; Chordata; Mammalia; Primates; Hominidae
Description: retained intron
Source: RNAcentral
CGAUCACCGAGCGCCGCCGGGAGUCGAGCGCCGGCCGCGGAGCUCCUGCGACCCCGCCAGGACCCGAACAGAGCCCGGGGGCGGCGGGCCGGAGCCGGGGACACGGGCACACGCCCGCUCGCACAAGCCACAGCGGACUCUCCCGAGGCGGAACCUCCACGCCGAGCGAGGGUCAGUUUGAAAAGGAGGAUUGAGCUCACUGUGGAGUAUCCAUGGAGAUGUGGAGCCUUGUCACCAAACUCUAACUGCAGAACUGGGAUGUGGAGCUGGAAGUGCCUCCUCUUCUGGGCUGUGCUGGUCACAGCCACACUCUGCACCGCUAGGCCAUCCCCAACCUUGCCUGAACAAGCCCAGCCCUGGGGAGCCCCUGUGGAAGUGGAGUCCUUCCUGGUCCACCCCGGUGACCUGCUGCAGCUUCGCUGUCGGCUGCGGGACGAUGUGCAGAGCAUCAACUGGCUGCGGGACGGGGUGCAGCUGGCGGAAAGCAACCGCACCCGCAUCACAGGGGAGGAGGUGGAGGUGCAGGACUCCAUGCCCGCAGACUCCGGCCUCUAUGCUUGCGUAACCAGCAGCCCCUCGGGCAGUGACACCACCUACUUCUCCGUCAAUGUUUCAGGUUGGUAGCCAAGCCCUGCCCUUGCCCCUCCCUAGACCCACCCCCUCCAACCCUCUCUGCCAGUUUCAGGGGAAGGUGAACCUCCUCCCACUCCGUGAUCUGCCCCCACUCUGCUUCAGAAACUGCUGCCCACUAACAUUGCUCCCUGCCUGCCGCGUGGC